GGGGUGGUAGGUCAAGUUAGGCCGUAAGUUUCCAAAACUUACAAUGCCUACUCUU
RNAcentral lists this transfer RNA (55 nucleotides) under Lingula anatina. RNAcentral describes it as "tRNA-Trp". Lineage: Eukaryota; Metazoa; Brachiopoda; Lingulata; Lingulida; Lingulidae. The record is from RNAcentral.